UACAGAGGGUGCAAGCGUUAAUCGGAAUUACUGGGCGUAAAGCGUAUGUAGGUGGUUUGCUAAGUCAGGUGUGAAAUCCCUGGGCUCAACCUAGGAAUUGCAUUUGAUACUGGCAAGCUUGAGUGCGGUAGAGGGUAGUGGAACUCCCGGUGUAGCGGUGAAAUGCGUAGAUAUCGGGAAGAACACCAGUGGCGAAGGCGGCGACCUGGGUCGACACUGACGCUGAGGCGCGAAAGCGUGGGGAGCAAACAGG
RNAcentral lists this ribosomal RNA (253 nucleotides) under uncultured bacterium. RNAcentral describes it as "partial 16S ribosomal RNA". It matches the Rfam family "Bacterial small subunit ribosomal RNA", at positions 524 to 776 of the family's 1533-position model. The record is from RNAcentral.